This 1486-nucleotide ribosomal RNA is filed under the name metagenome. RNAcentral's name for it is "bacterial LSU rRNA". It matches the Rfam family "Bacterial large subunit ribosomal RNA", at positions 1416 to 2925 of the family's 2925-position model. The record is from RNAcentral.
UGAUGGACAACAGGUUGAAAUUCCUGUACCUUAAGUAAACAGAACUGUGGGGACACGUGUGGAGAGCACAAGCCGGAAACGGAAAAGCCGGUGCAAGCGAGGUAGGAGAUGAACAGGCAAAUCCGUUCAUCAAUCCGAAGACGUGAUGCGGACCGAAUUAAGAGUAGGGAAGUGUGUGAGCCAUGCGUCAAGAAAAGCCGCUAUUGUUUUACUUAAGCCCGUACCGUAAACCGACACAGGUGGAUGAGGAGAGAAUCCUAAGGCCGACGGGAGAAGCAUUGUUAAGGAACUCGGCAAAAUGACUCCGUAACUUCGGGAGAAGGAGUGCCAGCGAGAGCUGGCCGCAGAGAAUUGGCCCAAGCAACUGUUUAGCAAAAACACAGGUCUAUGCAAAACCGUAAGGUGAAGUAUAUGGGCUGACGCCUGCCCGGUGCUGGAAGGUUAAGAGGAGAGGUUAGCGGCAACGCGAAGCUUUGAAUUUAAGCCCCAGUAAACGGCGGCCGUAACGAUAACGGUCCUAAGGUAGCGAAAUUCCUUGUCGGGUAAGUUCCGACCCGCACGAAAGGCGUAAUGAUUUGGGCACUGUCUCAACAAUGCACCCGGUGAAAUUGAAAUACCAGUGAAGAUGCUGGUUACCUGCGCCAGGACGGAAAGACCCCAUGGAGCUUUACUCCAGCUUGAUACUGGGAUUCGGUAUUGCAUGUACAGGAUAGGUGGGAGGCUAGGAAGUGAUAACGCCAGUUGUCACGGAGCCGCUGUUGGGAUACCACCCUUGCAGUAUUGGAUUUCUAACCAGCGACCAUGAACUGGUCGGGGGACAAUGUCAGGUGGGGAGUUUGACUGGGGCGGUCGCCUCCGAAAGGGUAUCGGAGGCGCUCAAAGGUUCCCUCAGAAUGGACGGAAACCAUUCGAAGAGUGCAAAGGCAGAAGGGAGCUUGACUGCGACACCGACGGGUGGAGCAGGUACGAAAGUAGGACUUAGUGAUCCGGUGGUAUAAAGUGGGAUUGCCAUCGCUCAACGGAUAAAAGCUACCCUGGGAUAACAGGCUUAUCACUCCCAAGAGUUCACAUCGACGGAGUGGUUUGGCACCUCGAUGUCGGCUCAUCGCAUCCUGGGGCUGAAGUAGGUCCCAAGGGUUGGGCUGUUCGCCCAUUAAAGCGGUACGCGAGCUGGGUUCAGAACGUCGUGAGACAGUUCGGUCCCUAUCCGGCGUGGGCGUAGGAUAUUUGAGGGGAGCUGUCCUUAGUACGAGAGGACCGGGAUGGACUGGCCGCUGGUGUAUCUGUUGCAUACCAAAUGCAUGGCAGAGUAGCCAAGCCGGGACGGGAUAAACGCUGAAGGCAUCUAAGCGUGAAGCCCCCCUCAAGAUGAGAUAUCCCUACGUAAGUAGUAAGACCCCUUGAAGACGACGAGGUAGAUAGGUCAGAGGUGGAAGUACAGUAAUGUAUGGAGCUGACUGAUACUAAUCGGUCGAGGGCAUGACCG